CCUACGGGAGGCAGCAGUGGGGAAUUUUGGACAAUGGACGCAAGUCUGAUCCAGCCAUUCCGCGUGCAGGACGAAGGCCUUCGGGUUGUAAACUGCUUUUGUACGGAACGAAAAAGCUCUUAUUAAUACUAGGAGUCCAUGACGGUACCGUAAGAAUAAGCACCGGCUAACUACGUGCCAGCAGCCGCGGUAAUACGUAGGGUGCAAGCGUUAAUCGGAAUUACUGGGCGUAAAGCGUGCGCAGGCGGUUAUAUAAGACAGAUGUGAAAUCCCCGAGCUUAACUUGGGAACUGCAUUUGUGACUGUAUAGCUAGAGUACGGCAGAGGGGGAUGGAAUUCCGCGUGUAGCAGUGAAAUGCGUAGAUAUGCGGAGGAACACCGAUGGCGAAGGCAAUCCCCUGGGCCUGUACUGACGCUCAUGCACGAAAGCGUGGGGAGCAAACAGGAUUAGAUACCCUGGUAGUCCCGACGACCGUAACCGACUAGUACUACUAGGUUGUUGGUUCGUUCUAC
RNAcentral lists this ribosomal RNA (513 nucleotides) under uncultured bacterium. Its description in RNAcentral is "bacterial SSU rRNA". It matches the Rfam family "Bacterial small subunit ribosomal RNA", at positions 338 to 840 of the family's 1533-position model. The record is from RNAcentral.